UUUUUUUUAAAGAACUGCAGCUGGGUUCAACUGCAAUUGGAAUAAAGACCAAAGACGGUGUCGUUCUGGCCGUCGAGAAGCGCAGUACUUCACCCCUGUUGGAACCCAGCAUUGUUGAGAAGAUUAUGGAAAUUGAUAAGAGUAUAUAGGAUGUGCUAUGAGUAGGUUAAUUACUGAUGCACUAGUCGAGACUCAGAUUCUCAUAUGGUGGACCAAUGACCCAACACAAAGCUCGUUGUGAUCUGGCCCUUCGAGAUGAAGAAUCCAUGGUGCAGCUGCAUAUCUUUUUCUCUUCUCGACCAUUCGGGGUAUCUCCUCUCAUUGCUGGUCAUGAUGAGAAUGGGCCAAGCUUGGAUAAUUGAUCCCAAGCUUGUAAGUUAUAGAAAACACGUGAGAAAGCAGCAUACGGCUCCUGGUAAACUCAAUUCAAAAUUUUGGCUGCCAUGGUACUGAUAGGGAUGCAUAUCUCCUUGUGCUGCCAUUUACUCAUUCUCUCUCUCCAUUUCCUCCAUCAUCUUUUCGACCUUUCGUUUUUUAUUUUUACUUAAUUUUUAUUUAAUAUUAAACUGUAAAAUUUUGUUUAACUAAAAUCUACUUAAUUCAAAGAGGGUUUUUUUUUAAAACAAA
Gossypium raimondii (Peruvian cotton) is the source of this 627-nucleotide long non-coding RNA. RefSeq lists it as uncharacterized. The record is from RefSeq and is a predicted model, not a curated record. NCBI's taxonomy places the organism in Eukaryota, Viridiplantae, Streptophyta, Magnoliopsida, Malvales, Malvaceae. The transcript is spliced from 5 exons.